This 443-nucleotide ribosomal RNA is filed under the name uncultured bacterium. Its description in RNAcentral is "bacterial SSU rRNA". It matches the Rfam family "Bacterial small subunit ribosomal RNA", at positions 958 to 1398 of the family's 1533-position model. The record is from RNAcentral.
AACGCGAAGAACCUUACCAGGCUUUGACAUGCCCUCUGUGGGACCCAGAAAUGGAUCCCUUCACUUCGGGUGGGAGGAGCACAGGUGCUGCAUGGCUGUCGUCAGCUCGUGUCGUGAGAUGUUGGGUUAAGUCCCGCAACGAGCGCAACCCUCGUCCUCUGUUGCCAACAGGUAAUGCUGGGAACUCUGAGGAAACUGCCGGUGAUAAGCCGGAGGAAGGUGGGGAUGACGUCAAGUCCUCAUGGCCCUUACAGCCUGGGCUACACACGUGUUACAAUGGCAGUGACAAUGCGCUGCAAACCCGCAAGGGUAAGCGAAUCGCAAAAAGCUGCCUCAGUUCGGAUUGUACUCUGCAACUCGAGUACAUGAAGCUGGAAUCGCUAGUAAUCGCGCAUCAUCGCGGCGCGGUGAAUACGUUCCCGGGCCUUGUACACACCGCUGUA